GUGGGGAAUCUUGCGCAAUGGGCGAAAGCCUGACGCAGCCAUGCCGCGUGAAUGAUGAAGGUCUUAGGAUUGUAAAAUUCUUUCACCGGGGACGAUAAUGACGGUACCCGGAGAAGAAGCCCCGGCUAACUUCGUGCCAGAAGCCGCGGUAAUACGAAGGGGGCUAGCGUUGCUCGGAAUUACUGGGCGUAAAGGGCGCGUAGGCGGACAGUUUAGUCAGAGGUGAAAGCCCAGGGCUCAACCUUGGACUUGCCUUUGAUACUGGGUGUCUUGAGUACGGGAGAGGUGAGUGGAACUCCGAGUGUAGAGGUGAAAUUCGUAGAUAUUCGGAAGAACACCAGUGGCGAAGGCGACUCACUGGCCCGUUACUGACGCUGAGGCGCGAAAGCGUGGGGAGCAAACAGGAUUAGAAACCCCUGUAGUCC
This 425-nucleotide ribosomal RNA is filed under the name uncultured bacterium. RNAcentral describes it as "partial 16S ribosomal RNA". It matches the Rfam family "Bacterial small subunit ribosomal RNA", at positions 354 to 796 of the family's 1533-position model. The record is from RNAcentral.